GAUAAACGCUAGCGGCAGGCUUAACACAUGCAAGUCGAGGGGCAGCAUAGAUUGUAGCAAUACAAUUGGUGGCGACCGGCGCACGGGUGCGUAACGCGUAUGCAACCUACCCGUCACAGGGGGAUAAUCCGGAGAAAUCUGGUCUAAUACCCCAUAACAUAUGGAUCGGCAUCGGUUCAUGUUGAAAUUUUCGGAGGUGACGGAUGGGCAUGCGUAGCAUUAGCUUGUUGGUGAGGUAACGGCUCACCAAGGCGACGAUGCUUAGGGGGACUGAGAGGUUUUCCCCCCACACUGGUACUGAGACACGGACCGGACUCCUACGGGAGGCAGCAGUGAGGAGUAUUGGUCAAUGGGCGCAAGUCUGAACCAGCCAUGCCGCGUGCAGGAUGACGGCUCUAUGAGUUGUAAACUGCUUUUGUACGAGGGUAAAGUGGGUUACGUGUAACCUUUUGAAAGUAUCGUACGAAUAAGGAACGGCUAACUCCGUGCCAGCCGCCGCCGUAA
This 504-nucleotide ribosomal RNA is filed under the name uncultured bacterium. Its description in RNAcentral is "partial 16S ribosomal RNA". It matches the Rfam family "Bacterial small subunit ribosomal RNA", at positions 28 to 523 of the family's 1533-position model. The record is from RNAcentral.